This 117-nucleotide ribosomal RNA is filed under the name Paramormyrops kingsleyae. Lineage: Eukaryota; Metazoa; Chordata; Actinopteri; Osteoglossiformes; Mormyridae. The record is from RNAcentral.
GCCAGCAGCCAUAGCACCUUUAGUUCAGACUAUAUAAUCCAUCUAAAGCUAAGUAGGUUUUUACUUGGCCAGUACUUGGAUGGGAGUCCAACUAGGAAAACUGGGUUGCUGCUGGAA